CAUUAAGCUCUCUUUCUCAAAGAAGAAAAAGAAAACAAAUUAACUUAAAAAAAAAAAAGGUUCUUUCCCUAUCUUGAAAGUCUUUAUAUAGACCUAUAGGUUUAGCUCAUUUUCAUAUAUAACAACAUUGCAAACUUAGUGAAAGAAGUUGGCCACAUUGUCCAAAACUUAGAACUAAGAGAAAGGAGAUUGAUAGAGAGAAAUGCCUCCUCGUUGGGGACCUCCACCAGGGCCUCCCGGUCCAGGACCAUUUGGUUGCUGUGAUUUUCUCUGUGGUGGUAUAUGCAGGCUUGUAUCUUCCUGCUUCUAUUUGCUGUGCUGCUGUUGCCUCUUCGAGAAUUGCUGUGGACCAUUGUUUGGUGGGCCUCGUGGGCCAGGUGGGCCUGGUGGCCCACCUGGUCCUUUUGGGCCCCCUCGCUUCUGAUCAAGCUGAUUUCCAAAGCGUUUUGUAAUAUCAUGAAUGAACAAUAUUGCUGUGUUGUUAUUAAUAACAAAUGAGUUUAGAUUUGAUUUUACUAUUGCUAUGUUGCUAGCCUUUCAAUUCUCACCUUGUAUUGUUGCUGACUGUUUGGGAAUGUGAGAAUAACAAUGCCAAUAACAGUUAGGCUUUUGAGUUUAGUUUGAGUCUAAACUCAGUGGAUGCUGUUUGGCAAUUAUUACACAUUCAAACCAACCAUGUUGGUAUUGAAUGUGACCUAUAAUAUGAAACAGUGAUAAUAUACAGUUGGUAACAGAACCAAUCUCUCUGCUUUAUUCUAUUAUGCCAUUUUGUAAUCAGACUUUCAUAUAUAACAUGCAAUUUUUGGU
This is a long non-coding RNA of Quercus lobata, 807 nucleotides long. RefSeq lists it as uncharacterized. NCBI's taxonomy places the organism in Eukaryota, Viridiplantae, Streptophyta, Magnoliopsida, Fagales, Fagaceae. The transcript has 2 exons. The record is from RefSeq and is a predicted model, not a curated record.